This 253-nucleotide ribosomal RNA is filed under the name uncultured bacterium. RNAcentral's name for it is "partial 16S ribosomal RNA". It matches the Rfam family "Bacterial small subunit ribosomal RNA", at positions 524 to 776 of the family's 1533-position model. The record is from RNAcentral.
UACGUAGGGUGCAAGCGUUAUCCGGAAUUAUUGGGCGUAAAGAGCUCGUAGGCGGUUUGUCGCGUCUGCUGUGAAAACCCGAGGCUCAACCUCGGGCCUGCAGUGGGUACGGGCAGACUAGAGUGCGGUAGGGGAGAUUGGAAUUCCUGGUGUAGCGGUGGAAUGCGCAGAUAUCAGGAGGAACACCGAUGGUGAAGGCAGAUCUCUGGGCCGUAACUGACGCUGAGGAGCGAAAGCGUGGGGAGCGAACAGG